CUCCAUAACCAAUGGCUUGGUCUGUGAGCUCACCAUUCGCCAGUCCUCCAGCCCCAGCUCCCUCCUCCUCCCCCUCCAUCAUUUGUCUCUGGUCCCCAGGAAGGCCUUGCAGCCCGGAGCUAUUGUGUGCUCUGGCUCUGGCAGACAGCCCCGCACAGGCCUCCCCGCCUCCCUGCUGGGCACACACCGCGGGGACAGCUUCUUUCGCCUCGCUCUCGGCGGCAGCUGUCGGCCCGCCCUCACCGGCCUCCAGUCGUUGCCUUUUAGGGCCGGGCUCGCCGUUUCCUUUGGGGAUAUGGCACGGGCCGCCGGUGUGAUUGGAAUCUAACCGACCAGGGUCCGCCAUCUUCCCACCGCCUAAGUAGGAGUCGCCCAUGGUAAGGGAGUGAAACGCAUCACGUGACGCGUCCUCCACCAAUGGCGGCGCCGCCUCGUGACGUCAACAAUAACAAACGCUGUCACAUGGAGAAAGCAGAGACUGUGGGCAAAGCUGGAUAUAGGAAGGGGACUGUGCUGUACCUCUACUGGGAGAGGGUCUACACCGGAUAUAGGAGGGGGACUGGCUGUACCUCUACUGGGAGAGGGUCUAUACCGGAUAUAGGAGGGGGACUGGCUGUACCUCUACUGGGAGAGGGUCUAUACCGGAUAUAGGAGGGGGACUGGCUGUACCUCUACUAGUCUGCAGAUGGGAGAGGGACUGUGUGCUGGAGAGGAAUACACCGGAUAUAGAGGAGAAAGGACUAUGCUAGGAGAAGGUCUACACCCGGAUAUGGGAGGACUGGUUUUGUACCUCUACUGGAAGGUCUACUGGACAUUAUAGAGGACUGUGUACCUCUACUGGAGAGGGGUCUACACACACGGAUGGGAGGACUGUGUCCUACUGGGAGGGUCUGGACCUCUAGGAGGGACUGUGCUGGCCACCUCUGCUGGGAGAGGGUCUAUACCGGUUAUAGGAGAGAGUCUAUACCGGAUAUAGGAGGGGGGCUGUGCUGGGAGAGAGUCUAUACCGGAUAUAGGAGGGGGACUGUGCUGGGAGAGGGUCUACACCGGAUAUAGGAGAGAGUCUAUACCGGAUAUAGGAGGGAGACUGGCUGUACCUCUACUGGGAGAGGGUCUAUACCGGAUAUAUGGGAGGGACUGUGUGUGCUGGGAAGGGUCCCACAGGAUAUGGGAGAGAGGGACUGUGCUGGGAGGAGAGGUCCCACACUGCAGGAUAUGGGAGGCCCCAGCUGUACCUCUACUGGAGAGGUCUACACAGGAUAUGGAGGGAUUGCUGUACCUCUACUGGAGAGGUCUACACAGGAUAUAGGAGGCUGGCAGCCUGCCUCUCUACAGGAGGGGUCUACACCCUCGGAUAUAGGAGGGUGGCUGUGCUGGGAGAGAGUCUACACCGGAUAUAGGAGGAGGACUGUGCUGGGAGAGAGUCUACACCGGAUAUAGGAGGGGGACUGUGCUGGGAGAGGGUCUACACCGGAUAUAGGAGGGGGACUGGCUGUACCUCUACUGGGAGAGAGUCUAUACCGGAUAUAGGAGAGAGACUGGCUGUACCUCUACUGGGAGAGUGUCUACACCGGAUAUAGGAGNNNNNNNNNNNNNNNNNNNNNNNNNNNNNNNNNNNNNNNNNNNNNNNNNNNNNNNNNNNNNNNNNNNNNNNNNNNNNNNNNNNNNNNNNNNNNNNNNNNNGGUCUACACCGGAUAUAGGAGGGGGACUGUGCUGGAAGAGGGUCUAUACCGGAUAUAGGAGGGGGACUGUGCUGGGAGAGGGUCUAUACCGGAUAUAGGAGAGGGACUGUGCUGGGAGAGGGUCUAUACCAGAUAUAGGAGGGAGACUGUGCUGGGAGAGGGUCUACACCGGAUAUAGGAGGGAGACUGUGCUGUGAGAGGGUCUACACCGGAUAUAGGAGGGAGACUGUGCUGGGAGAGGGUCUACACCGGAUAUAGGAGGGGUACUGUGCUGGGAGAGGGUCUAUACCGGAUAUAGGAGAGGGACUGUGCUGGGAGAGGGUCUAUACCGGAUAUAGGAGGGAGACUGGCUGAACCUCUACUGGGAGAGGGUCUAUACCGGAUAUAGGAGAGGGUCUAUACCGGAUAUAGGAGAGGGUCUACACCGGAUAUAGAAGGGGGUCUAUACCGGAUAUAGGAAGGGGACUGUGCUUGGAGAGGGUCUACUCCGGAUAUAGGAGGGGGACUGUGCUGGGAGAGGGUCUACACCGGAUAUAGGAGGGGGACUGUGCUGGGAGAGGGUCUACACCGGAUAUAGGAGGGGGACUGUGCUGGGAGAGGGUCUACACCGGAUAUAGGAGGGGGACUGUGCUGGGAGAGGGUCUACACCGGAUAUAGGAGGGGGACUGUGCUGGGAGAGGGUCUACACCGGAUAUAGGAGGGGGACUGUGCUGGGAGAGGGUCUACACCGGAUAUAGGAGGGGGACUGUGCUGGGAGAGGGUCUAUACCGGAUAUAGGAGGGGGACUGUGCUGGGAGAGGGUCUAUACCGGAUAUAGGAGGGAGACUGGCUGUACCUCUACUGGGAGAGAGUCUACACCGGAUAUAGGAGGGGGACUGUGCUGGGAGAGGGUCUACACCGGAUAUAGGAGGGGGACUGUGGUGGGAGAGGGUCUAUACCUGAUAUAGGAGGGGGACUGUGCUGGGAGAGGGUCUACACCGGAUAUAGGAGGGGGACUGUGCUGGGAGAGGGUCUAUACCGGAUAUAAGAGGGGGACUGUGCUGGGAGAGGGUCUACACCGGAUAUAGGAGAGAGUCUAUACCGGAUAUAGGAGGGAGACUGGCUGUACCUCUACUGGGAGAGGGUCUAUACCAGAUAUAGGAGAGAGUCUAUACCGGAUAUAGGAGGGGGGCUGUGCUGCGAGAGAGUCUAUACCGGAUAUAGUAGGGGGACUGUGCUGGGAGAGGGUCUACACCGGAUAUAGGAGGGGGACUGUGCUGGGAGAGGGUCUAUACCGGAUAUAGGAGGGGGACUGUGCUGGGAGAGGGUCUAUACCGGAUAUAGGAGGGGGACUGUGCUGGGAGAGGGUCUAUACCGGAUAUAGGAGGGAGACUGUGCUGGGAGAGGGUCUAUACCGGAUAUAGGAGGGAGACUGUGCUGGGAUAGAGUCUACACCGGAUAUAGGAGGAGGACUGUGCUGGGAGAGAGUCUACACCGGAUAUAGGAGGGAGACUGUGCUGGGAGAGGGUCUACACCGGAUAUAGGAGGGGGACUGUGCUGGGAGAGGGUCUACACCGGAUAUAGGAGGGGGACUGUGCUGGGAGAGGGUCUACACCGGAUAUAGGAGGGGGACUGUGCUGGGAGAGGGUCUGUACCGGAUAUAGGAGGGAACUGGUGCUGGGAGAGGGUCUAUACCGGAUAUAGGAGGGGGACUGUGCUGGGAGAGGGUCUACACCGGAUAUAGGAGAGAGUCUAUACCGGAUAUAGGAGGGAGACUGGCUGUACCUCUACUGGGAGAGGGUCUAUACCAGAUAUAGGAGAGAGUCUAUACCGGAUAUAGGAGGGGGGCUGUGCUGGGAGAGAGUCUAUACCGGAUAUAGGAGGGGGACUGUGCUGGGAGAGGGUCUACACCGGAUAUAGGAGGGGGACUGUGCUGGGAGAGGGUCUAUACCGGAUAUAGGAGGGGGACUGUGCUGGGAGAGGGUCUACACCGGAUAUAGGAGGGAGACUGUGCUGGGAGAGGGUCUACACCGGAUAUAGGAGGGAGACUGUGCUGGGAGAGGGUCUACACCGGAUAUAGGAGGGGACUGUGCUGGGAGAGGGUCUACACCGGAUAUAGGAGGGGGACUGUGCUGGGAGAGGGUCUACACCGGAUAUAGGA
This 3823-nucleotide long non-coding RNA is filed under the name Pelobates cultripes (western spadefoot toad). Lineage: Eukaryota; Metazoa; Chordata; Amphibia; Anura; Pelobatidae. The record is from RNAcentral.